AUGCUUUCUCUGAUGGCUACUACUUUGUCGGUGCGGCAGGAAGGCGCACGAACCGAGGGCAGCCCGGAAUCGGCGCUGAAUCCGUUGUCGUGCUCCUGGAGCGUCGGGAUCGACAACAGCAUCGCCGGCAGCCCGCCCGCGAAAGCGUCGCCCUGGAGGACGACUGAGAACGAGGUGAGCGCUGAGGUCGAGGACGUCGUCCGGGACGAUGCCGCUCAGGUUCAUAGCGGCGAGGUCGAUAGCGGUGACCGCACCCCGCGUGUUGCAGCGCACACCCUUCCAGCUACAGCUCCAGCCCCAGAGCUUCCCCAGGGGUCGACGAGCGAGGCCCUGAUGGCCGGCAGCGCCGCAGCCUCGGCAUUGGACAGUGUGGCGCAGUACAAGAGCCACAAGCCGGAGAAAAGCAUCGGCUGGGAGGAGGUAGCCAAUGGGGUUCCACAACCGGACGAGGGCUUUGGCGUCGAUCUCCCUCCUCCUGCUCCCAAUCGCCGGUACGGCCUCCAUCGACUAGAUCUUCACCACCUCCGGGUACAUCAAGAUGAAGAUCAAGAGAAUUCCGAUGAAAGGCAUCAUGUUGAUUCUAAUAUGAAAAUGGAUGAUGCCAAGUCUCAAAACUCUGAAAUGUGUUCUGUUUAUUUGGUUCUUAGUUGUGGCUUCAUCAGAUCUCAGCUGGGGACCCGUUUAGGACCGCCGCUGGCUACUCGCUACCGAGCUACUGGCCAUGGCGAUUAUAGUAUUGAUCUGCCGCAGUGCCACUGGGAUAAAACCCUCCGCGAAGCCCACUUUAACUCGCACCACUUCUCCUCCAUCUUUUCUCCCAACCAUACCUCACCCACCAUCCUUCCUCGUCUGCGCACUGCCGCGGAAGAACAUACCACACGACCACAGACCUGGCUCCAGUCCUGCCUGACACCCAAGAUGAGUUCUUCUUCCAACAGGUUUUGUCGUCCGGUGACGCUGCCACUUCUGCUGCUGCUGCUGCUUCUGCUCGUGAGUUCGUCGUCGUUGGCGCUGGGCCUGGCCGACGCGAGCGGGCAGCACCGGCCGGCCCGGCGGUUGCUGGUGUCGCCGCCGUCGACGCACGGCUCCGAGCAACGAAUGCGGAUCGACGGUGAGAAGGAGCCCUUCAAGGACGCCCGGGCGAGCUUGGGGCGCCGGAAGAUACCGGCCUCACGGUAUAGUCCCAUCCACAACAGAUAG
This 1200-nucleotide ribosomal RNA is filed under the name Triticum aestivum (bread wheat). Its description in RNAcentral is "partial small subunit ribosomal RNA". The record is from RNAcentral. Lineage: Eukaryota; Viridiplantae; Streptophyta; Magnoliopsida; Poales; Poaceae.